AACGAACGCUGGCGGCAGGCCUAACACAUGCAAGUCGAACGCCCCGCAAGGGGAGUGGCAGACGGGUGAGUAACGCGUGGGAACCUACCUUUCGGUGCGGAAUAACUUCGGGAAACCAAAGCUAAUACCGCAUACGCCCUACGGGGGAAAGAUUUAUCGCCGAUAGAUGGGCCCGCGUCGGAUUAGCUAGUUGGUGAGGUAAUGGCUCACCAAGGCUACGAUCCGUAGCCGGUCUGAGAGGAUGAUCAGCCACACUGGGACUGAGACACGGCCCAGACGCCUACGGGAGGCAGCAGUGUGGAAUAUUGGACAAUGGGCGCAAGCCUGAUCCAGCCAUGCCGCGUGAGUGAAGAAGGCCUUAGGGUUGUAAAGCUCUUUUAGUGGGGACGAUAAUGACGGUACCCACAGAAUAAGCCCCGGCUAACUUCGUGCCAGCCGCCGUAAGAC
RNAcentral lists this ribosomal RNA (447 nucleotides) under uncultured bacterium. RNAcentral's name for it is "partial 16S ribosomal RNA". It matches the Rfam family "Bacterial small subunit ribosomal RNA", at positions 29 to 526 of the family's 1533-position model. The record is from RNAcentral.